Molecule: non-coding RNA, 86 nt
Organism: Podarcis lilfordi (Lilford's wall lizard)
Lineage: Eukaryota; Metazoa; Chordata; Lepidosauria; Squamata; Lacertidae
Source: the annotation of a GenBank genome assembly
GCAGUUAGCUCAGUUGGUUAAAGCGUGGUGCUGAUAACGCCAAGGUCAUAGGUUCAAUUUCAGACACACAUUCCUGCUUUGCAGCA